Long non-coding RNA from Panicum virgatum (switchgrass), 1649 nucleotides. RefSeq lists it as uncharacterized. Lineage: Eukaryota; Viridiplantae; Streptophyta; Magnoliopsida; Poales; Poaceae. The record is from RefSeq and is a predicted model, not a curated record. The transcript is spliced from 5 exons.
CGCCGUCCUCAGGUUCUCUGCGGCGUAGGCGGCGUCCCUGCAGCACCAGAGGGCCGCCCCGUCGUUGUCUCCCCUGCCACUAUCUACCGGCACCGUCCAACAUCUGCUGUCAUCCUCCACCACGAGGGGUGCCCCUAUUCACCGUCGUGAGAGGGUCCCCGUCCGCCUUACGAUGUAUUCCCCGUCGCGCGGCCACGCCACCAUCCCCUUCGAGGCUUCGACCGGUGCAGGUCAGGUGUAGGGGCCGCCCGCGAAAAGGGGCGGACGAGCCGCUGCAGGUGCCCUCUCUCGCUGCACCACCGUAUGACUCCCGCUGCCCCCGCCAGUGCAGAUCAACCAAUCUCAGUCUCCCUGUCAGGUUUGGAGAGAUUCAAUGUGUUUCUGUGGAGCUGGGUGACAUCACGGGAUUCUACAUGAUCGACGAGGAGGGCGUGCUGCAGUCGGUGGACGUCGGCGAGGAAGAGGAGAACGGGGAAACUUUGAUUGGGAGAUGACAACAGUAAUCAUGUGGUGCACCUGAAGGUUCAGUUUGAGGAUAAUAUUCAGGUCUUUGAUGGGAGGAGUUUGAGUAUGAAUUAAAGGCCAAUACUGCACAGGGAGCAGGCCUCGCCUAGAGGCUCCCGGUGUGAAGCUAAGAGGGAUAUGUGGGGAACCUUCCUGGGGGUGUCAAUAUGUUUACUCUUGCUAACCUGUUCAACGAACAAUGGGAGAUCCUGGAAGCGAGGUUCAUCUAUGACAGGGAUAGUUCGAGAUCAAGGGGGUUCGGUUUUGUCACAUGUGCCUCUGAUGAAGGGGUUGAGGAUCUGUCACCGAAUCUUGAUGGCGCUUUUUUUCGUGAGCUGUGAAGCUUCUCCCGGUUAGAGUUCUACACAUGGUUUUUGUUUGGUGAUGAAGUGGUACUGUCUUCAAGAAACAAAUGAAGGAUUGCAUCCUAUGACAUUACAGAAUGUCACCUGUUGUGUCGGUGAGCGCACUUUGACCACUAAACUCCAGUGUCCAAUUCCUUUCAGAUGUCUCCUUAAAACUGGAAACGUUUGCCCAAUCACUGAUAUGAUCCAUUUGGUCCCCCACUUUUGGAAUUUCUAGAACAAAAGGAAGGAAUAAUAUGAAGUUCUUUAUCUGAAAGUUUAUCAUUUUGAUAUUUUGCAAAUAGUCUUACGAUGAAGAAGCAUUGCAAACAUGGCCAUUUCGGUACUAAUCUUGGUCCAGUAUGUGUGCAAUGUGUUGGUAUCAUGUUGAAAUGGAGAUAUGCUUGUAGCUGAAGUAAGAAAUUGGCCUCCAACUUUAACUUCUUCAUAUUGUGUUGUGAACCUUUUGAAAGAAGAAAUAAGGCAGAAAGGAGAGCAGCAGAUUGCCACAACAACUGAGCUCAAGAAGUCUCACACUAAUUUUUUUUGUUUUACAAUGAUCUCCCCUUUUGCCUUUUGUUAUGCAUCACGGUAAAUUCUAAACCACAUGUUGUAGUUAUUUUAGUUCAGUGCCAGCCAAAUUUCUGGUUGGCUGAUUUAGAAUUGAUUUACGUAUUUUUCUAUUUGUUAGUUUCCAAUUUGAUACUCUAGACCUAUACUGUUUUGAGCAACAUUCUGUGGAUGGUUUUGGCAAAUGUGAUUAUGAUUUGAAUGAGGAAAUGUUAUAAUGUCUUAAUUUGA